RNAcentral lists this transfer RNA (88 nucleotides) under Micromonospora sp. MH33. Its description in RNAcentral is "tRNA-Gly". Lineage: Bacteria; Bacillati; Actinomycetota; Actinomycetes; Micromonosporales; Micromonosporaceae. The record is from RNAcentral.
GGACCGCUGGCCGGCGGGCGGCGGGCUGCUCCCCGCCGCCCGGAUCCCCGGCGGGGAGCUCGCCGCGGUCGCCGCGGCGGCGGACUUC